CUAUGUGUGUACGAGAGUGGGCCCCAAAGACCUCUGAUAAUCUGAUCAUACACUAUGGAAACACAUUCACAAUAGUGCAGAGCGGGUAAAAUCACCAUAACUAGUCAUACACUGUGGAAACACAUUCACAUCAGUGCAAACUGGGGUAAAAUCACUUGGGUACUUUCUGGUGAUUUUUAGAAAUAACUUUAACUAUACUGAAACAUGUAAUAAGAAUAUAA
This 221-nucleotide long non-coding RNA is filed under the name Olea europaea subsp. europaea. The record is from RNAcentral. Lineage: Eukaryota; Viridiplantae; Streptophyta; Magnoliopsida; Lamiales; Oleaceae.